Gadus chalcogrammus (walleye pollock) is the source of this 3280-nucleotide long non-coding RNA. RefSeq lists it as uncharacterized. The transcript is spliced from 8 exons. NCBI's taxonomy places the organism in Eukaryota, Metazoa, Chordata, Actinopteri, Gadiformes, Gadidae. The record is from RefSeq and is a predicted model, not a curated record.
AGAAACUAGUUUGUAAUCACGAAAAGCGAAACUUUUUAUUUUAUUUAAAGAACCAGCCAAGUGAAAAAAGACAGACAAACACAUUGACAGAACAGAGAGAACAGCCAGAACCACUGAUAGAAACAACAGGAAAACAGACAGAGGAGCAACACACGGGACAGAGAGAGCAGGAGACGGGUCAGCGAGAGCAACAGACAGGACAGACUGACAAACAUGCAGACUGGGAGCAACAGACAGGACAAAUAGAAGCGCAUGCAGAGGAGCAAAAGACAGGACAAAUGGAACGACCAACAGAGCAGAUGGAAGAAGACACAGAGAAACAAACAGAAGAGACUCACUCCCCCAAUCCUACAGCAGGGCCAGAAGAGUCGUGCUCUGGCUGGAGCAGCAACAUAUAGAUCCAUUUAAAAAAAUGAGUGGACCUUUUCAUGGCCAUUUAUUACCAGAAGGACCCUCAUCACGCACUACUGGUGUGCAGUGUGCCGUUUUGAAAACUCCCGUUGCCACCAGGCUGUGACAGAUGUAGUGCGCCACAUAAAAACCAAAGGCCACCAAGAAAAGAAACGGGCUCACUCAGCGACAAUAUCACAAUAUGCAAUGCCCAUUCCCUCUGUUGGGGGCAUGUCUGCACAAGAUGCUAAGGUAUCCCAUUUUGAUUUGGAGGUCAUGAUGGUGGACAUCGGUUACUGGUUCAAGGGUAGCACAAAUCGGAAAGGAUACCCGACAGAGUUUUGUGAGCUCCAUGAAGUGGAGUACAUGGAGGUCCUCAUCCGUGUCUCGGUUCGUUGGCUAAGCCUUUGAACGUUGUUUGACCAGGAUCCUCAGACUUUAUGAACCUCUGGCCAGCUACUUCAAAUCUGCUGAUGAAAAUCCGGCCAGGUUCAAGAGGCUUGUGCAGACGUUCACUGACCCCAUGACAGAAGUGUACCUGCUGUUCUUUCAAGCCACCGUACCAACUUUCACUACUUUCAACUUGCUUCGGUCAUCAAUAUUUAUGUUAUAUGAUGAGAUGGUGAAAUUUGUACGCAAGCUUUGUUCAAAGUUCAUUGUUCCAGCCGCUCUGCAGGGUCUUGAGGAGCCUGGUGAUAUUGCCUUUGAAGAGAAGGCAAACCAUUUACCAGGAAGAAAGUUGCACAUUGGGUUCACACAACCAGGGCUAAACUCAACAGACUACUUGACGAGGGUGACAUCACACCACAGCAGGUGGAUUCAUUCCAUGAAGCUGUGUUAUGUUUCCGGACAAGUGCUGUGGACUAUGCACUAAAGAAGCUGCCACUGAAAGAGCCACGGCUCAAACAUUAGACAUUUGUAGAUGCACGGCAGAGGGCUGAAAGGGACACCAGAGAUGUCCUGUACUUUGUUGAAAGGUUUCCCCAUCUCCUCCCAUACCAUGGUCCAGAGGAGCAUGACCUUCUGGGUGAGGGGUUUCUAAGUUAUCAGACCAUGCCAAUGAUAUCCCUGUAGGACGAAACUGAAAUGGAAAGCUUCUGGGCUGAAAUGGCAACCCGGAAACAUAAGCCUAGCAUUGGAGGGCACCCUGUCCUCAAUAAUGACCAUAAAGAUGGCCGACCUGGAGCCCUGUUUCAAAUGGGAGCCCCCUCGGAUGUCAUCAAGGCCUCCAAGAAGGCCACAGCCAGAGGCCAGUAUAACCGUGCCCACAGAUCAUAGACAAGGACUAGCUUCUGAUCUGCAUCCGAUACUGAUGACCUCAUUUUUUGUUAUUUUUGUAAUGCGUUCAUCCGUUUUAUUGCUUUAUUGCUGUUUAAGCACUUCAAGCACUUCAUAUGUUGCACUUUAUUUGUUUCUAAUGGACCAUGUGGUGGGAGGCUUUAAAUGAUGAAUAAUUUAUCUCCCUAACUAAUCUUGUCGUUUUUGGCUGAACAUAAAUCAUUAAGUGCUCUUAAGAAUACAAUUAUUCACAAUAUAGGUUAGGUUUCAGUUCAGAAUUUGUUUAAUACCAUUGUUGAUCAAAAUAUCAUUAAACCUACCUAGGUCAAAUCUUAAACACUGGUCUAUGAAUACGGCUAUAUUGUGGCACAUAGACAGUCAUUUAGGCACAACAAUAGUUUUCUGGUUUAUUGUUCAACUCCAGACUAGGCCCCUACAAUUCCUAAAGCCAAACAUGAAUCAGAAUAAGUUCAGGUAUUGCACAUCUUUAGCAGACCACCCAAAAAUCCACUAAAAUGCAGGAAAUCACAUCUACUUUAUCCAAAAUUUCCUGGUGGUUGACCUUCACAGCUUCACAGAAUGUAACCAAUUUUGUCCAUCUCCAGUGAGCUGCCCCUAUGAACGGCUUUGGGCCUCCCCACAAACCACCAAAAUGCUGGGUACAACAUGGGUUCAACAUCCAAUCAAUUAAAAUUCUCUAAAAUCUGAGCCACCAACUUGUGUGGCUGCGUUGUCGGGGGUAAUUUUGGUUACCCCCGACAAAAUCUUACUCCAGGUUUUUUUGAAAAGUUGGCAGCUCUGAAGACUGCUAGUGCUAAGGCGAGUAAGUUGCCUUAGCAGUAGAUAUGAGAACACUAGUGGCCCUGGUGAAGAGCGGAUUUAAUGAUUAUAACCGUUUGAAUGAUUGUAUUAUUCAUCGAAGGGUCAGAUGGUUCUGCCUGCCAUACAUCCAGAGACUCCAGUGCUUGGUUCAAAGCCUGAUAAGCUGGAGCCACAGCCCUCAGCUCGCUGUGAAGUUCACGUUGAGGUGAACGGUGUCUGACAGCCUUUCUCUCAUACACAGGCAAAGGUCUGAGGUUGUAUGAGCAGCACUCUCCCUCAUCACAGGAGGUGCUGGAAUCUGACUUGGUGGCUUCUCUGGGCUGAACUUCUCUCUUUGUGGCUUCUUCUCCACACCAGAAUCCCGUUGCUCAUGGCUGACUGGCAAGAGGAGGUUGCGGUAGAGAACCCGGAGGGUUCGGUCGGCUGUUUCUGCUUGGACACGAUAAACUGGACCGUCUCCUAGUGACACAGUGGAUCUUCCCUUCCCAGUAAGGUGAGGUGGUGAUCUACUACAACAAGGUCGUACUCGAGUCAUAGCCUCCUUUACUGGGAUCGAGGUGCAUGUGGUCGUCAGAAAGCAACUCAAAAGGGGCACUGGUUGUGAUUGAUCCAAUUGGUUCUUUCUCAAUAACAGCAGGUCGUUUUUGUGUAUGAAAACAGUUAACAAUUAUGUUAUGCAGUUAUGCAAUUAACCGCUAAAACCAGAAAAUGGGAGGGGGGUACUGUUUUAUAAAACAAGCCAUUUUCUAUACCUUUUUCUUGUCUACCUUUUGUCAGUUAGAUGCAUGGU